Molecule: ribosomal RNA, 488 nt
Filed under: uncultured Lachnospiraceae bacterium
Lineage: Bacteria; Bacillati; Bacillota; Clostridia; Lachnospirales; Lachnospiraceae
Description: bacterial SSU rRNA
Rfam family: Bacterial small subunit ribosomal RNA
Source: RNAcentral
CUCAGGAUGAACGCUGGCGGCGUGCUAACACAUGCAAGUCGAACGAAGCACCUAGGAAAGAGUUCUUCGGAUGAAGCCUUUGUGACUGAGUGGCGGACGGGGUGAGUAACGACGUGGGUAACCGUACCUCAUACAGGGGGAGUAACAAGUUGGAAACGACCGCUAAUACCGCAUAAGCCAACAGAACCGCAUGGUUUAGUUGGAAAAGAUUGAUCGGUAUGAGAUGGACCCGCGUCUGAUUAGCCAGUUGGCAGGGUAACGGCCUACCAAAGCGACGAUCAGUAGCCGGCCUGAGAGGGUGAACGGCCACAUUGGGACUGAGACACGGCCCAAGCUCCUACGGGAGGCAGCAGUGGGGAAUAUUGCACAAUGGGGGAAACCCUGAUGCAGCGACGCCGCGUGAGUGAAGAAGUAUUUCGGUAUGUAAAGCUCUAUCAGCAAGGAAGAAAAUGACGGUACUUGACUAAGAAGCCCCGGCUAACUACGUG